This is an RNA transcript of Toxorhynchites rutilus septentrionalis, 5060 nucleotides long. It is a transcript of the gene named ribosomal protein S6 kinase beta-2, with no coding region annotated. Lineage: Eukaryota; Metazoa; Arthropoda; Insecta; Diptera; Culicidae. The record is from RefSeq and is a predicted model, not a curated record. The transcript is spliced from 12 exons.
UUAAUUUGAUGAUCUGUGCUUCAAGUUACAAAAUCAAGAAUUAACUCAAUUGCAUUCGACAUUGUUCGAAUAAGUGGAAUCUGUUCGGUGCUUCGCUAGAUUGUUAAAUUUGGGAAGGAAAUUCCUAUCGAAACAUCAUUGGCCCAAUCGGUUGAAUGAGAACGAGGGGCAGGAAGAAAAUAGGCCACAGUGAAAGGAUGAAAAUGUGUGCGUAUUUCGUCUUUUCGUCUGGGCGAUAAUAUUUACAACAUCGGUGCUGAUGGUAUGCGUACCCGUGUGCGAUGCGUGUGUAGCUGUGUGCGUAUUCUUUCGUACAGAAGAACAACUUCGAUAGCGUAAAAGAACAAAAACAGGCCUGGAUUUCACCAAACAAACCGCGCCAUUAUUGUGCUUUUGUUAUUCGCCUCCGAUGGUUCGGUGCAUUUUCGAUCAGCUCAGGAAAUUUUCUGCCUUCAAUAGUUUCGGGGAUUCUGUGCUCAAAACAAUUCCAGGGAAGACCAGUGCUCUGGAAUACGUGUGUUCAAAUAGGUUUCUAGUUUAAUAUCUGAAAAUUUUGCAGCAGUGUUCAGUGUAUAAUGAAAAAGUAAUACCAAAAUCUCGCUUUCAACGGAAGGGAGUGAAAAAAAUCGUGUUUCCUAGGAUUGUGGACAAUUUUUUUUUGUGUGAAUUGUUGAUACAGGUAAGCGGAAUAGUUUGAGAACGUAGGUGAAAAGAAGAAAAGAAAACUUGUGUUCAUUUUGCAAACAAAAGUGCAUACAUCGGUGGGAAAGAUCCUGUGAAGAGAGGAAGGAUAUAUAGUAACGAAACAAUAAACAAUCACACACGCCAAAAUGGCUGGUGUAUUCGAUUUGGAGCUCCACGAAGAGGAAAACAUUCGUGACUCGGACGAUGAUGUGAUCGAGGUGGAUGAUAUGAACAACAAUAUGCUUGGUUCGCCUACGGUCGAUCUGGAGCCGGAGUUGCACAUCAACAGCGAUCUAGCCGCCGAAGGGGCGGAGACCAUUACACUGUCGGAGCACAAUGUUAACCCUGGCAUGGUCCGGCUCAACCCCAGGGAUUUCGAGCUGAAGAAAGUGCUGGGAAAGGGUGGUUAUGGAAAAGUUUUCCAAGUCCGCAAAAAUAGCGGCGCAGAUGCCGGAUCCCACUUCGCCAUGAAGGUUCUCAAGAAAGCCUCAAUAGUUAGAAAUCAGAAAGACACAGCCCACACACGUGCUGAGCGCAACAUUCUGGAGGCAGUCAAGCACCCAUUCAUAGUGGAACUGGCGUACGCCUUCCAGACAGGCGGAAAAUUGUACUUAAUCCUUGAGUAUCUCAGUGGCGGCGAGCUUUUCAUGCACUUGGAGCGUGAGGGAAUAUUUCUAGAGGAUACCACCUGCUUUUAUUUGUGCGAAAUUAUUCUCGCCUUGGAGCAUUUGCACGAUCUCGGCAUUAUUUACCGGGAUCUUAAGCCAGAGAACGUACUGCUCGACGCCCAGGGACACGUCAAACUAACCGAUUUUGGCCUCUGCAAGGAACACAUCCAGGAGGGAAUCGUUACGCACACAUUCUGUGGUACUAUAGAAUAUAUGGCACCUGAAAUUUUAACCAGAAGUGGUCACGGUAAAGCUGUUGACUGGUGGUCACUCGGAGCUCUGAUGUACGACAUGUUGACGGGAAUGCCACCUUUCACGGCAGAUAAUCGCAAGAACACAAUAGAUGCCAUUCUUAGGGGUAAACUCAACAUACCGGCCUACCUAGCGUCCGACUCGCGCGAUCUCAUUCGCCGCCUUAUGAAACGUCAGGUGACACAACGUUUGGGCAGCGGGCCCACAGACGGGCAAGCGGUGCGGGCUCAUGCAUUCUUCAAAAACGUCUGCUGGGAUGACGUGCUAGCUAGACGACUGGAUCCUCCAAUCAAACCAGUUCUGCGAAGUGAGGACGAUGUAUCACAAUUCGACACAAAAUUCACUAAGCAAAUUCCCGUUGACUCUCCCGAUGAUUCCCUGCUGAGUGAGAGUGCCAAUUUGAUCUUUCAAGGAUUCACCUAUGUCGCCCCUUCGGUGCUAGAGGAGAUGGCCAAAACGACGACAGCUCGUUCCCCCCGUCGGACACCCCGCCAUCACCAUAUCGGCAGUCACAGUAGUCACGCACAUAUGUCCAACAGCCGCCGCAUAAGUGGUGCCCUGGAGAAUGGUGCAAUAACGCGCGCAGACGAGCAGAUGCUCAGCAUGCCCCGGAUGCAGCCUCACACAGCCCACGGCAGCAAUCAUCACAUGGUGUUCCAGCAGCAGCAGCCACAUCAGCAGGCGCCCCAACCUCAGCAGCUCCCAUCUCAGCUAUCGGCAGCAAGAAGUGCGCAGUUCGGCGCCGGACCGAGUAAUCCAACCAACCCUCGGCUCACGGCGGCUCGGCUGCAACCCUUCGCGUCUAGGCCCUCCCCUCAGGAUGAAAUGAUGGAGGUGUAUCCUGAGCUACCGAUUUCUUACAUACGGGCAAACAACAACGUAGCGUCGGUAUGUUCAUGGCCUGUAAAACUGUGAUUUGGCAUUUAUUUUGAUCCCACCGCUCACGCACACAUAGUUCUUCGGGUGCUUUCUCUCGAUUCCGGCAGAGAGAUUGAACUGAACCGGCACCGGCGCAAACCCCCCCAAACAUACACACUAUCAUCAGCGGCGCGCGAAACCCACCGGAACGAAACCCGUUUAUGACAGUGGAGAGUGUACUUUUUCAAAAUUAACAAGUAAGAAGGCCAAGAGUGGAUUACAACAAUUUUAGAAGAUUUAUAAUAUAACAAAAUACUAGUAGUUAAAUUUUCACGAAGGAUGAGGAAGAGGAGACAACAAAAGUGGAUUAAUAUUAUUAUUUGUCGUACGUCAAACUGCAGCAAUUGAUGAUGAUUUACCAGAGCAAACGAGAAAGCGAGAGCAGAUCAAGAAUCGGCAUAUAAUGGGAUAAGAGUGUCGACACGCACGUGUUAGCGACAGCAGCUUGUUGUAACCGAUAUAUUAACAGGUUAUGUGAAUAGGCAAUAUUUUACGUGAUUGACCAUUUAUUGAAAGAGUCGACAGAGACACAUAAACAACACAUACACACCAAGCGAGUAUAAUAUGCAAGCAAGCAAGCAAACAAGCAAGCUGAACAACACUGAAUAUUGAAUGAUGAUCAGACAGCGUAAUCUAACAAGCAAAUGAGAUGUUAACAACGCAGCGGUCUCGCAAUCGCCAUGGGAAUAUAUGAAAGAAUAUAAGCAAAACUACGGUUGGAAUCAUCUUUUCGAUGCACGAUUAUUGUUUCACUUAUACUCCUAGAUAUUGUGCCCUCGGAAGGAUAUGUACUAACCUGUAUUACAACUUGACAAUUCAAACACAACAUGAUUCAAAGGCUCGGUUUGAUAAUCACACUCUGCUCCAGAUUAAAACGGUAAUACCUAGUGAUAAGAAUUUAAGCUUAUGAACUUGUUGAAACAAAACAUUUCUUUUGCGAGUGUUGCGAAGAUGCCACAAAAAACUUAAGAAAAAGAAACCGUUUUCAAUUUAGGUUAAAACAAAUAUAUGCAAAAAUCUAUUGUUGAAGCGCUUCGUAAGAGCAGACUGUUCCCGCGCAACAGUGCAGAUGGAGUUGAAUAAAAUCAGAAAAUUGAGUUCCUGUAUACAACACAACACAACAAAACACCACCCUCAGAUGGCAGAAUGGCAAAGCACAACAAACAACACAUUAAUGCAAAAGAACAAAACAUUUAGAGUAAACUGAAUUAAGAUGUUUCAAAAGAUGAAAAAAGCAAACUCAUUCAACUUUGAAAACACGUUUCUUAGGGAAAAAAUCACCUAUUACAUGAAGGCACGAAUGAGAGUUGUUUUUGUUGGCUAGAAUGAAUAUUAUGAAGGAAUGAACAUAGGACUAAGGAUUCUUUUAUAAAUAUAUGGAUUAGUUUAGCAGCACAGCAGUACCACAAUGUAACGGAAUAUGAUGAAUCCCGUAGAUCAAGAAGAAAGUCACAUUUUGUCGAGGAUGCAAAAUAAUUAUGGAAAAGGCGAUUUUUGUAUAGUUAGGAAACCUAGCAUUGUAACCUUCUUUAGCCAAAUAUCCCUCCAAAAAGCAAACGUAAUAGUUAUUUUAAUCACUAGCUCGAGGUUGAUGAUGAUGAUGACGAUGAUAUGGUUUGAUGCAGUUACACCGGGAAAGAACAGAUUAUAUUCUAAACACAAUAGCAGCAAUGAUGGAUGCAGAUGAGUGGCGAGUUGCUUUUUCCUCUCAACAACAACCAUCAAUGUCUGUAGAGAAAGUAAGUAAAAUAUGACUUAAUUUUAACAACAACAUAAAAAAAACACCCUUACCAAUAGAAAAUUAAAGCGAACUCCUAAUAUAUUGAAACAUUCUGUUCACUUAAGCCGUUGGGUAAAAUGAUGGAAACAAAGCAGAAGCGAAUACAUAAUGCCGAAGAAAUUGGAACCACAAUGGUCACAACAGAGAACGAAACAUAAAAUGCAAUAGUCUGGAUUCUCAAAUGAACAUAAACUGAUUUGACUGAUUUUAAGGUAACUAUUUUAGAAUAUUAUAAGAGGAUUAUUCACAGUAACCUGCGAAUAGUAGAGAAUUUUUUGUACAAUAGACCAAAUAAAACAUAUAGCAAACAAAUAGAUCAAUGAUACCAACCAAACGAUAUUCUGCAGUUUUCCGAUAAUUUUAAUCAUUAAUGUAUUAACACUAUGUUUUAUCCAUUCGAUUGAGUUUAGUGCUCAUUCCUAGCUAGGGCACUAUUUCCAAGUAAUGCAUUAAUCAACCGCUCAGCUGAUUUUCUUUCUCUCAUUUUUGGCAUUCGGGUCUAGGAGAAUAACAUUUCCUCCGACAAUCGGUUGAAUGGGAAAUAAAUUCAAUUCAUUUCUGAUUAUAGUUUACCAUUUUCAAAAUCACUAUAUUAUAAUAUUACUUACGUAGAGAAGAGCGAGAGACCAAGUGGAGCCUAGAUUUUUAGUGGAAACUAAUCAAAUUGAGGAAGCCCAAAUGUGUGUGCGUAUAAGGUUGAGCAGUUGAACUGGCAAGAAAAGAUCGUAUAAAACGCUUGAAGAUUUGAACAUUUAAAA